Molecule: long non-coding RNA, 2065 nt
Organism: Oncorhynchus keta (chum salmon)
Lineage: Eukaryota; Metazoa; Chordata; Actinopteri; Salmoniformes; Salmonidae
Exons: 4
Source: RefSeq, a predicted model, not a curated record
UCUAGCUACAUCUUGUCUGUCAUUCUACAUCUUGUCUUGUCAAUCUAGCUCAUUGACUGUAAAAAAACCAUAUGGAUGAAGCCAUCGAUGACAUCAUCCCAUUGUGUCCUAUGAGAAUGCUUGGUGGCGUAUUUGAUCGUCAGGAAAUGUCAUUUCAGUGUCGCCAUCUUGUCAAAAAACAAAAAGUGCACCAAGGGGGGGGGGCCCCAGGACCAUAUUUGGGAAACCUUGAACUACUGACAUGACAAAACAGCAGUGUUGCAAUGUUCCCACAAGAUUGGGGAAAACGAUGUCACAGGUGAACAUUUAUUUUUGUCGAGGAUGGCGGGUUUUUGUGCUAUUUCUAGGUUGCACCGUGGCAUUUCUCUUUAAAAUCUAUUUCACUGUCAGGCAGUGAGGCAGGCUGUUGCUGAGUGAGUGAUGGGGAGGACCGGAGGGGUGUGUCUGUGUAGAGAGAGCAGUACAGCUAUUGGCUGAGUCGUGUGAGCGAGAGGAGAGAGCAGCACGCUCGCACGUCGUGACAACUUUUUACCAGUUGUAGGACUUGGCUAUUUAGAUCAUUAUGGAGACACCUAUUUCCAUAAAACAUUAAUACUCUAGAACUGACGCACAUCAAGAAAUAAUGGAGACAACGCACUGGAAAAUGACUUUGGGCGCGCAUUACAUAAAUCCACCCGUUGGUGGUUUAAACUGAAUUAUUGGGUUACUUUGAAAACGAUGUCGCGGGUUAAAAUGUAUUUGGUCGCGUUGUUGGCUAUUUCUAAGUUGCACCGUGGCCGCCAUGACAUUUCUCUUUAAAAUAUAUAUGAUUUCACUGUGACCUGUUGCUGAGUGGUGGGGAGGUGGAUGUGUGUGUGUUGAGAGCGCUAAUGGGAGACAAAACACGAACUAUUUUGGGCGUAUAACAUAAAUCCACUCGUUGGUGGUUUAAACUACAUUCUAGUGUUGACUACUAAAAGAAAACGGUAUCAAGCGAAGUGAUUUAUGUAUGUUCAGUUCCUGGUUCUCGGGGGGGGGGGGGAAUUUGAAAUGGAAGUUGUGGAAAAGUCCUCAAUGAAACUGACAUGAGGCUAAAUGUGGAGAAUGAUACAUUUGCCUCAGUUGACCAUCAAGCAGCCUAUUAAUAUAUAUAUGCCAUCGUCGGCUGCCAUUUGAUACAAUAAAUAUGUUGAAAUGACGAUAUCACUGGAGUCCUUGCAAAUCCAUUUGUGCCACUUGUGUAGCCUACCUGGAGCUGGCAAACAGAUUGAAUAGAUAGCCUGUAACUCCAGGUUGUUGUAGUCUUGUGUUAUUAUCAAUAGAUAGCCUGUUGUAGUCUUGUGUUAUUAUCAAUAGAUAGCCUGUAACUCCAGGUUGUUGUAGUCUUGUGUUAUUAUCAAUAGAUAGCCUGUAACUCCAGGUUGUUGUAGUCUUGUGUUAUUAUCAAUAGAUAGCCUGUAACUCCAGGUUGUUGUAGUCUUGUGUUAUUAUCAAUAGAUAGCCUGUAACUCCAGGUUGUUGUAGUCUUGUGUUAUUAUCAAUAGAUAGCCUGUAACUCCAGUUUGUUGUAGUCUUGUGUUAUUAUCAAUAGAUAGCCUGUAACUCCAGGUGGUUGUAGUCUUGUGUUAUUAUCAAUAGAUAGCCUGUAACUCCAGGUUGUUGUAGUCUUGUGUUAUUAUCAAUAGAUAGCCUGUAACUCCAGGUGGUUGUAGUCUUGUGUUAUUAUCAAUAGAUAGCCUGUAACUCCAGGUUGUUGUAGUCUUGUGUUAUUAUCAAUAGAUAGCCUGUAACUCCAGGUUGUUGUAGUCUUGUGUUAUUAUCAAUAGAUAGCCUGUAACUCCAGGUGGUUGUAGUCUUGUGUUAUUAUCAAUAGAUAGCCUGUAACUCCAGGUUGUUGUAGUCUUGUGUUAUUAUCAAUAGAUAGCCUGUAACUCCAGGUUGUUGUAGUCUUGUGUUAUUAUCAAUAGAUAGCCUGUAACUCCAGGUGGUUGUAGUCUUGUGUUAUUAUCAAUAGAUAGCCUGUAACUCCAGGUUGUUGUAGUCUUGUGUUAUUAUCAAUAGAUAGCCUGUAACUCCAGGUGGUUGU